UAGCUUAAGUCGACAUUAGAGACGCCAAGAUGAUACCUUGGAGGUAGGGGUUUACCCCAAGCUGCA
RNAcentral lists this transfer RNA (66 nucleotides) under Ephemerella sp. Yunnan-2018. RNAcentral's name for it is "tRNA-Ile". The record is from RNAcentral. Lineage: Eukaryota; Metazoa; Arthropoda; Insecta; Ephemeroptera; Ephemerellidae.